RNAcentral lists this ribosomal RNA (484 nucleotides) under uncultured bacterium. Its description in RNAcentral is "partial 16S ribosomal RNA". It matches the Rfam family "Bacterial small subunit ribosomal RNA", at positions 30 to 507 of the family's 1533-position model. The record is from RNAcentral.
AUUGAACGCUGGCGGCAGGCCUAACACAUGCAAGUCGAGCGGAUGAAGGGAGCUUGCUCCUGGAUUCAGCGGCGGACGGGUGAGUAAUGCCUAGGAAUCUGCCUGGUAGUGGGGGAUAACGUCCGGAAACGGGCGCUAAUACCGCAUACGUCCUGAGGGAGAAAGUGGGGGAUCUUCGGACCUCACGCUCUCAGAUGAGCCUAGGUCGGAUUAGCUAGUUGGUGGGGUAAAGGCCUACCAAGGCGACGAUCCGUAACUGGUCUGAGAGGAUGAUCAGUCACACGGGAACUGAGACACGGUCCAGACUCCUACGGUAGGCAGCAGUGGGGAAUAUUGGACAAUGGGCGAAAGCCUGAUCCAGCCAUGCCGCGUGUGUGAAGAAGGUCUUCGGAUUGUAAAGCACUUUAAGUUGGGAGGAAGGGCAGUAAGUUAAUACCUUGCUGUUUUGACGUUACCAACAGAAUAAGCACCGGCUAACUUCGUG